This 386-nucleotide unclassified non-coding RNA is filed under the name plant metagenome. RNAcentral describes it as "partial contains 5.8S ribosomal RNA, internal transcribed spacer 2, and large subunit ribosomal RNA". The record is from RNAcentral.
AAUCGGGGCGAGGAUGAUCAUCGCCAGCAACACGAUCGGGUUGGAUCCGCCGUCACGGUCGUCACGGCUGCCACCCACGAACAUCGCCAUGCGCGCCGCGAACAUGAUCGUGGCGGCAAUCGUCGCGGCGAUCGAGCUGAUCAGGAUGUCGCGGUUCUUGACGUGCGCGAGUUCGUGGGCCAUGACCCCUUCGAGCUCGUCCUGGCUCAGCACCCGCAUGAUCCCCUGCGUGGCCGCGACCGCGGCAUGCGACGGAUUCCGGCCGGUCGCGAAGGCGUUGGGCGAUUCGUCAGGGAUCACGUACACCUUGGGCAUCGGCAGGCUGGCGCGCUGCGACAGCCGCGUGACCAUCUGAUGCAGCGGAUGCUCGGGCCCGACCUCCUGCG